ACACGAUCAACUCUAGUUAAGAGUUGGAACUGGCCUCAUGUGCUGCUUUGCAUAUUUGGUUUGAAUAUAUUGAGUUGAUGAGCCUCCCAAUGUUGCUCAAUGUGUGCUAGCGAGACAGUCGUCCCGAUCUCACAUUAAAGCUUUAUUGCAGGGCUCUAUACACAACUUUAUAAUCAUUAUCAA
RNAcentral lists this unclassified non-coding RNA (183 nucleotides) under uncultured Rozellomycota. RNAcentral's name for it is "uncultured Cryptomycota sequence contains ITS2". The record is from RNAcentral. Lineage: Eukaryota; Fungi; Rozellomycota.